UACGGGAGGCAGCAGUGGGGAAUAUUGGGCAAUGGGGGAAACCCUGACCCAGCAACGCCGCGUGAGGGAAGAAGGUUUUCGGAUCGUAAACCUCUGUCCUUGGUGAAGAGUUUGAGACGGUAGCCAAGGAGGAAGCCCCGGCUAACUACGUGCCAGCAGCCGCGGUAAU
RNAcentral lists this ribosomal RNA (169 nucleotides) under uncultured rumen bacterium. RNAcentral's name for it is "partial 16S ribosomal RNA". It matches the Rfam family "Bacterial small subunit ribosomal RNA", at positions 340 to 524 of the family's 1533-position model. The record is from RNAcentral.